GGCUCAGGAUGAACGCUGGCGGCGUGCAUAACACAUUCAAGUCGAACGGUGAAGUGCCUUCGGGCAUGGAACAGUGGCGGACGGGUGAGUAACGCGUGAGCAACCUGCCAUACAGUGGGGGAUAACACAGGGAAACUUGUGCUAAUACCGCAUGACACAUCGUGAUCGCAUGGUCGUGAUGUCAAAGAGCAAUUGCUGUAUGAUGGGCUCGCGUAUGAUUAGACAGUUGGCAGGGUAACGGCCUACCAAAUCAACGAUCAUUAGCCGAACUGAGAGGUUGAACGGCCACAUUGGAACUGAGAAACGGUCCAGACUCCUACGGGAGGCAGCAGUGGGGAAUAUUGGGCAAUGGGCGAAAGCCUGACCCAAGCGACGCCGCGUGAGGGAAGAAGGUCUUCGGAUUGUAAACCUCUUUCAGCAGGGAAGAAGUAAGUGACGGUACCUGCAGAAGAAGUCACGGCUAACUACGUGCCAGCAGCUGC
RNAcentral lists this ribosomal RNA (482 nucleotides) under uncultured bacterium. RNAcentral describes it as "bacterial SSU rRNA". It matches the Rfam family "Bacterial small subunit ribosomal RNA", at positions 21 to 518 of the family's 1533-position model. The record is from RNAcentral.